UACGUAGGGUGCGAGCGUUGUCCGGAAUUAUUGGGCGUAAAGAGCUCGUAGGCGGUCUGUCACGUCGGAUGUGAAAGCCCGGGGCUUAACCCCGGGUCUGCAUUCGAUACGGGCAGACUAGAGUGUGGUAGGGGAGAUCGGAAUUCCUGGUGUAGCGGUGAAAUGCGCAGAUAUCAGGAGGAACACCGGUGGCGAAGGCGGAUCUCUGGGCCAUUACUGACGCUGAGGAGCGAAAGCGUGGGGAGCGAACAGG
This 253-nucleotide ribosomal RNA is filed under the name uncultured bacterium. RNAcentral describes it as "partial 16S ribosomal RNA". It matches the Rfam family "Bacterial small subunit ribosomal RNA", at positions 524 to 776 of the family's 1533-position model. The record is from RNAcentral.